UACAGAGGUCUCAAGCGUUGUUCGGAUUCAUUGGGCGUAAAGGGUGCGUAGGCGGCGCGGUAAGUCGGGUGUGAAAUCUCGGAGCUUAACUCCGAAACUGCAUUCGAUACUGCCGUGCUUGAGGACUGGAGAGGAGACUGGAAUUUACGGUGUAGCGGUGAAAUGCGUAGAUAUCGUAAGGAAGACCAGUGGCGAAGGCGGGUCUCUGGACAACAACUGACGCUGAGGAGCGAAAGCGUGGGGAGCGAACAGG
Molecule: ribosomal RNA, 253 nt
Filed under: uncultured bacterium
Lineage: Bacteria
Description: partial 16S ribosomal RNA
Rfam family: Bacterial small subunit ribosomal RNA
Source: RNAcentral